Molecule: unclassified non-coding RNA, 325 nt
Filed under: Hevea brasiliensis (rubber tree)
Lineage: Eukaryota; Viridiplantae; Streptophyta; Magnoliopsida; Malpighiales; Euphorbiaceae
Source: RNAcentral
AUUUGCUCCAGCAAAUGACCAUGGUAGCAAAUGCUUACAAAGCCCAAACUAGAACCCCAGAUAGAGCUAUUGCUGAACUCCUGAUUGCAGGGUUUUCAGGACAGCUCAAAGGAUGAUGGGAUUAUCAUCUCAUGAACCUAUAAAAAUCUGAGAUAGAUAGAAUCCAUACAAACUCAAGAAGAUGGCGUGCCAAUUCUUGAUGAGUUAGGCCAACCAAUCCCAGAUGCAGUAGCCACCUUGAUUGUAACAAUUUCCUUACAUUUCGUAGGUGACCCAUCCCAUCUUAAGGAUAAGAAUGCCGAACUCCUUUCAAACCUUAGAUGCA